Dendronephthya gigantea is the source of this 948-nucleotide long non-coding RNA. RefSeq lists it as uncharacterized. NCBI's taxonomy places the organism in Eukaryota, Metazoa, Cnidaria, Anthozoa, Malacalcyonacea, Nephtheidae. The transcript has 5 exons. The record is from RefSeq and is a predicted model, not a curated record.
GUUUAUUACAAAAUUAAAGAGAAAUUAGUGAUGUUACGAGAGCUGUGUUGUGGAAGUCUAUGAAUAUAAGUAGAUUGGAUAAAUAACAGUUUAGAAAGGACUCCAGGAGCAAACAAUUUUGUUCGUUUGCCCUUAGUUGGAUCAUGUGGCUGCGGGAAGUCUGCCUUUGUCAACGCUGUGAGAGGUAUUGAUAAUGAAGAUGACUAUGCAGCCACAGUUGAUGUUGUGGAAUCAGAAUUGGUAAAAUUUUACCAUUUUCUAAGUUUUAUUGCACACAGAGUAACACAACUUGACCUGGGAGCUGCAUUAUUAGAGAAAGUAUAAAAGCUGCUGGCAAAUAUUUUUUCUCAUUCGUACUAAAUUUGAAAUCGAAUCAAUGCGGGUAAAGAGAAAAAGUGAUUUUAGAGAAGAAGAGUUUUUGUGAAAGAUUCAGAAUUAUGUCCUGGAACAAAAGGCAAUCUCGGUAUCAGUAACUACGAACCAUACGGAUGGGAUUUUUUCCUUUUCCCAUUAGAGACAUCACAACAGAUUUAACGGAGCUAUAUCUUGGUGAAAGAAAGAAACGUUGCAAAUAUUGAGGAAUUUGACAAGAAUAAUCUUUACGAUUAAAAGAUACGAAAAUGGGUUUUGGUGUAGCAGGAGAUAGUGGUGCUGGAAAAUCUGCAUUUAUCAACGCAAUAAGAGAGUCUGUUGACUUGCAAAGUAUAUGGGCAGCAAAUCAACUAUUUAAAGCCAUUUCAUAUGUCAGAAGAUUCGACAAAGUGCAGUGUCUCGUUAGUGGUUUUAUCGCUCUUUUUACAUGAUCUAAGGAGGUCUGUAUGAAGCCGUGUUAGCCGGCUAUGAAGAGUCCAUCUCAACUCUUCCAAACAAAAAAUAGUGCUCCUUUGUGGAACUAAGUAACGUAGCAUAUUUAUCAUUGUUUAUUGUUAUUUUACGUAUUAGUUAAAA